GGGGAAUUUUCCGCAAUGGGCGAAAGCCUGACGGAGCAAUACCGCGUGAGGGAGGAAGGCUCUUGGGUCGUAAACCUCUUUUAUCAGGGAAGAAACAAAUGACGGUACCUGAUGAAUCAGCAUCGGCUAACUCCGUGCCAGCAGCCGCGGUAAUACGGAGGAUGCAAGCGUUAUCCGGAAUUAUUGGGCGUAAAGCGUCCGCAGGUGGUUUUGAAAGUUUGCUGUCAAAGCGCGGAGCUUAACUUCGUACCGGCAGUGAAAACUCCAAGACUAGAGUUUGGUAGGGGUCACGGGAAUUCCCAGUGUAGCGGUGAAAUGCGUAGAGAUUGGGAAGAACACCAGCGGCGAAAGCGCGUGACUGGGCCUGAACUGACACUCAUGGACGAAAGCUAGGGGAGCGAAAGGGAUUAGAUACCCCUGUAGUCCUAGCCGUAAACGAUGACAACUAGGUGUUGCCGUAUCGACCCGGGCAGUGCCGUAGCCAACGCGUUAAGUUGUCCGCCUGGGGAGUACGCACGCAAGUGUGAAACUCAAAGGAAUUGACGGGGGCCCGCACAAGCGGUGGAGUAUGUGGUUUAAUUCGAUGCAACGCGAAGAACCUUACCAAGGCUUGACAUGUCGCGAACCUUUGUGAAAGCAGAGGGUGCCUUCGGGAGCGCGAACACAGGUGGUGCAUGGCUGUCGUCAGCUCGUGUCGUGAGAUGUUGGGUUAAGUCCCGCAACGAGCGCAACCCUCGUUUCUAGUUGCCAUCAUUGAGUUGGGCACUUUAGAGAGACUGCCGGUGACAAACCGGAGGAAGGUGGGGAUGACGUCAAGUCAGCAUGCCCCUUACGCCUUGGGCUACACACGUACUACAAUGCUACGGACAAAGAGCCGCAAGUUCGCGAGGACAAGCAAAUCUCAUAAACCGUGGCUCAGUUCAGAUUGCAGGCUGCAACUCGCCUGCAUGAAGGCGGAAUCGCUAGUAAUCGCAGGUCAGCAUACUGCGGUGAAUACGUUCCCGGGCCUUGUACACACCGCCCGUCACACCAUGGAAGUUGGCCACGCCCGAAGUCGUUACUCCAACCGUUCGCGGAGGAGGAUGCCGAAGGCAGGGCUGAUGACUGGGGUGAAGUCGUAACAAGUAGCCGUACCGGAAGGUGUGGCUGGAUCACCUCCU
RNAcentral lists this ribosomal RNA (1160 nucleotides) under Phormidesmis sp. TAA2-2HA3-12. RNAcentral describes it as "bacterial SSU rRNA". It matches the Rfam family "Bacterial small subunit ribosomal RNA", at positions 356 to 1531 of the family's 1533-position model. The record is from RNAcentral. Lineage: Bacteria; Bacillati; Cyanobacteriota; Cyanophyceae; Leptolyngbyales; Leptolyngbyaceae.